CUGCAAGAAACAAACCGUAAGGAAGAAUAAGACAAAUUGUUGUAUAUCAAAUCCAAGAAUAAUUAUGGCAUAUACUUUUCUCCAGCCAUGGAUGAAUAUUUGUUAAAUUAUAAUCUAUUGUGAAGUUAAAAUAGUAUUUCUGAGGUCAACAUGGAAACUGAGACCACAACCAGGGAGCCAAUGAAUUUCAUUUCCAUUCUCAAAUUAAAAAAUAAUUUCAGUCAAUAACAAAAUUAUUAAUUUACUUUGCUGCUAUUCAUAUAACACUUUAAACUUAUUCUAUAUUGUUUUUAUUCUGUCAAUCCCAAGUUCCCAAAAGGAAAUACAAAUAGUGCAAUGUAACUUAAUUACAAUGCAACAUCAGUAAAACAACACUGGGAAAAUCGAGAACACAAAAGGUUGAUAUUUACUUUCUCUGGCGUAACUUCUUUAUUCAACUCCUUGGGUGCAUAAGAAGAGC
This 460-nucleotide unclassified non-coding RNA is filed under the name Hevea brasiliensis (rubber tree). Lineage: Eukaryota; Viridiplantae; Streptophyta; Magnoliopsida; Malpighiales; Euphorbiaceae. The record is from RNAcentral.